GUAAAAUGCAUUUAUUUUGGCUUUUCAAGAAAUUAUGACAUAUACAAGGAACAUUUGAAUGGAAUUUUUAAGCCACUCGUUAAUAUAUAUUGAAAAGCAAAAAUAAUCAUUGAUGAAAGAUUUAAGCAAAACAUUACAGGUGAGCGUUUCAAGCUCUUAGAAGCCUCUUGUUUCCCCCUACUAUCACAUUUCUAUGUACCGAUGUACAGAGUUCUCCACGAAAUCGGGGUUAUAUCCAUUAUUUUAAAAGUUCACAUCAUACUGAACCUAUUUACUAAGUUUAACGUUGAUUUGACCACACUUGCAUAGUAUACAAACUACCUUAACUAGGGAACCACUAAUGACAGGACGAUUGCCCGGAUAGUGACAGGACGGUUGACCGGACGACAUAUAAAUAGUCAUAACUUUUUUGUUAUCCGAUAGAUUUGUUUAAUAUUUGUAAACCUGAAAGAUAUUAAACUAUAUUUUAUGAAUAUAAAAAAAAAGAGGAAAAAUAAUUAUUUUUGAGCAAAAAAAGUUGACCGGACGGUAUUCACACUCGCCAAUAUACGCUAAAUAUAUAUUCAACUGGUUGACGACAAGUGUUAAUAUCUCUUUUGUUUUACAAUAUUUGUCCAUGAAACUCAGGAAUCUGUGAGAUUUAUAAAUAUAUUAUACGAAAAUAUAAACUUGAUUGCAAAAAAACGUGUUUUUCUCAAAAAAAAGUUGACCGGACGGUAUUCACCCUCGCCGAUAUACGCUAUAUAUAUAUUGAAAUGGUCGACGACAAGUGUUAAUAUCUCUUUUGUUUUACAAUAUUUGUCCAUGAAAAUCAGGAACCUGUGAGAUUGAAUAGUAUAUUACACGAAAAUAUAAACUUUAAAGUAAAAAAGAAAAAAAAUCUGCAAAAAAAGUUGACCGGACGGUAUUCACCCUCGCCGAUGUACGCGUUGAUUAUAUUGAACUGAGCGACAAAAAAUGUAAAUAUUUUUUUUGUAAACAAUAUUUUUUCAUAAAACUGAGAUAUGUGCGAGAUAAAUAAAUAUAUGAUAUGAAAAUAUAAACUCUAUGAUAAAAAAAUUAUUUUUCUUAAAAAAAAAGUUGACCGGACAGCUAACAUUCGCC
RNAcentral lists this long non-coding RNA (1104 nucleotides) under Mytilus galloprovincialis (Mediterranean mussel). Lineage: Eukaryota; Metazoa; Mollusca; Bivalvia; Mytilida; Mytilidae. The record is from RNAcentral.